AUGCAGGACGGAGAUGCGCACGCGGUAGGAGCCGUGGGUCAUGAGGGUGCCGUUGGGCGUCAGCCAGUUGACGGAGGUCAUGGAGGUGCCCGUGCGGCAUUUGAGCUCGGCAGCCAUGCCCUCGGUGACGUUGAGGUCAGUGGGCGGCUCCACGAUGACGGGCGCGUAGCAGGUGAAAUGCGACUGGUCCAGCUCCCCAAUGUAGCGCCCCUUGAGGCCGGCGGGCGCAUGACAGCGGGCGCAGCACGUCGUGUUGCUGGGCACCGUCUCUUUGAGCCACCAGCUCAGCCAGAGCACGUCGCAGUUGCAAUGCCAGGGGUUGUGGUUGAGAUGCACGCGCUCGAGGCGGUGCAGGGGCGUGAAGAGGUCGUGGGGCAGCGACAUCAGGUUGUUGUGGGACAGGUUGAGCUCCUCCAGCGACUUGAGGUCGUCGAAGGCGUUGCGCUCGAUGGUGGCUACCUGGGCGUGCAUGAGCCACAGCUUGCGCAGACUGGUGAGACCCUGGAAGGAGCCCGGGCGGAUCAGAUCCAGCCGGUUACCCGACAGCUCCAGCUCCUCCAGGCGCACCAGGGCCGUCAGGUUGGGGAUGUCCUUGAGGUUGCACAUGCCCAGGUUGAGGUAGCGCAGGUUGACCAGCCCCUCGAAGGCCGCCUCCGAGAUGUACUCCAGCCGCUUGAGCUCGCCCAGGUCCAGGCGCCGCAGCGAGGGCACGCGGUUGAAGGCGUACGAGGGGAUGCUCUCGAUGGGGUUGUUGCGCAGCCAGAGCUCCCGCAGCUUGGACAGGUACUCGAAGGCCUGCGUGGGCACCGUGGUCAGCCGGUUGUCAAAAAGCUCCAGCGUGUUGAGGCUGGGCAGCCCGUUGAAGGCACCCACCUCGAUCUUGCGAACCAGGUUCUUGCUCAGCUGCAGAAUCUCCAGGUGCCGCAAGUGCUUGAAUGUGUCCGUCCGGAUCACCUGGGGAGAGGGAGACACGGAUCAGUCAUGGAGAUACUGACAAGGGCCGUGGGGGGAUCACCAAGGUCCCGGGAGCAGGCGGGGUCGGGUGGCUGGAUCUCCUGUGCUGUGCUGUGA
Molecule: long non-coding RNA, 1071 nt
Filed under: Macaca fascicularis (crab-eating macaque)
Lineage: Eukaryota; Metazoa; Chordata; Mammalia; Primates; Cercopithecidae
Description: lncRNA (ENSMFAG00000048864.1)
Source: RNAcentral